This 110-nucleotide small nuclear RNA is filed under the name Mesodinium pulex. RNAcentral's name for it is "partial Dictyostelium signal recognition particle". The record is from RNAcentral. Lineage: Eukaryota; Ciliophora; Litostomatea; Cyclotrichida; Mesodiniidae.
AGUGACAACGAAGACUUCGAGAAGCAGGUCCGCAAGAGUGAGAAGAAGCAGAGGCAAAUCGACGAGGUAGACGUCAAAGUCAACUUGAUGCAGUCCAAAAUGAACAACAG